GGAGGAUCCGAGCGUUAUCCGGAUUUAUUGGGUUUAAAGGGAGCGUAGGCGGGGGCUUAAGUCAGUUGUGAAAGUUUGCGGCUCAACCGUAAAAUUGCAGUUGAUACUGGGUCCCUUGAGUGCGGCAGAGGCAGGCGGAAUUCGUGGUGUAGCGGUGAAAUGCUUAGAUAUCACGAAGAACUCCGAUCGCGAAGGCAGCUUGCCGGACCGUAACUGACGCUGAUGCUCGAAAGUGCGGGUAUCAAA
Molecule: ribosomal RNA, 246 nt
Filed under: uncultured bacterium
Lineage: Bacteria
Description: partial 16S ribosomal RNA
Rfam family: Bacterial small subunit ribosomal RNA
Source: RNAcentral